Long non-coding RNA from Oncorhynchus tshawytscha (Chinook salmon), 2347 nucleotides. Lineage: Eukaryota; Metazoa; Chordata; Actinopteri; Salmoniformes; Salmonidae. The record is from Ensembl.
CUCCAAUCAGAUGAUGGAGAUAUAUAUCGUCAUCCUCCAAUCAGAUGAAGGAGAUAUAUAUGACGUCAUCCUCCAAUCAGAUGAUGGAGAUAUAUAUGAAGUCAUCCUCCAAUCAGAUGAUGGAGAUAUAUAUGACGUCAUCCUCCAAUCAGAUGAUGGAGAUAUAUAUGACGUCAUCCUCCAAUCAGAUGAUGGAGAUAUAUAUGACGUCAUCCUCCAAUCAGAUGAUGGAGAUAUAUAUGACGUCAUCCUCCAAUCAGAUGAUGGAGAUACGCGGAACUAUUCAACGCUGUCACGAAACACUUCGUCAAACAUUUGCCUUCGCUCUUAAAACCUGGUAUUUUUUUCUCCUUCCACUUUAUCUGUUCAGGUAUUUUUCCAUUUAGCUUUAGACAUUUUGUUCACAAGACUAACUACAGGCAGGAAAAAGGUUAGCGUGUUGGCUACAAAUCAUUCAUCUGGCAAGACAUUAGAAUAAUCAGAAGGCAUAGACAAAAGUACAUAACAAUCAUCGACCACAUUGUCCAUCUCUACAGAGCACAUUAUCCAUCUCUACAGAGCACAUUAUCCAUCUCUAUAGAACACAUUAUCCAUCUCUACAGAGCACAUUAUCCAUCUCUAUAGAACACAUUAUCCAUCUCUACAGAGCACAUUAUCCAUCUCUACAGAGCACAUUAUCCAUCUCUACAGAGCACAUUAUCCAUCUCUAUAGAACACAUUAUCCAUCUCUACAGAGCACAUUAUCCAUCUCUACAGAGCACAUUAUCCAUCUCUACAGAGCACAUUAUCCAUCUCUAUAGAGCACAUUAUCCAUCUCUACAGAGCACAUUAUCCAUCUCUAUAGAGCACAUUAUCCAUCUCUAUAGAGCACAUUAUCCAUCUCUACAGAGCACAUUAUCCAUCUCUAUAGAACACAUUAUCCAUCUCUACAGAGCACAUUAUCCAUCUCUAUAGAACACAUUAUCCAUCUCUACAGAACACAUUAUCCAGCUCUAUAGUAGCUGUGUCCAGCUGUCAUCUGUACAGCCGUUUCCAACACACCUAGUCUGUGUCCAAAUGGCACCCUAUUCUCUACGUAGUGCACUACUUUUGAAGAGGGCCAAUAGGGCUCUGGUCUAAAGUAGUGCACUAUGUAGGGAAUAUGGAGCCAUUUUGGAUGCUCCGCAACAACCCCAUGAUGGUAUUGAGGACAUUCACUACAGUAUCUAUUCUCUUCUGAUUCAAAACCAACCAACCAGCGUUCCAGUUUGCUUCAAACAAAGAAGAAGGGUGAACCACCCCACCCAACCCAGGCACAACCCAGGCUUAGGCACAACCCAGGCUCAGAUACAGCUGAUGUUCACAUACCCCAGCCAACCCAGGCUCAGGUACAACCCGGUCUCAGGUACAACCCGGUCUCAGGUACAACCCAGUCUCAGGUACAACCAGGUCUCAGGUACAACCCAGGCUCAGAUACAGCUGAUGUUCACAUACCCCAGACAACACAGUCUCAGGUACAACCCAGUCUCAGGUACAACCCAGUCUCAGGUACAACCCAGUCUCAGGUACAACCCAGUCUCAGGUACAACCCAGGCUCAGGUACAACCCAGUCUCAGGUACAACCCAGUCUCAGGUACAACCCAGGCUCAGGUACAACCCGGUCUCAGGUACAACCCGGUCUCAGGUACAACCCAGUCUCAGGUACAACCCGGUCUCAGGUACAACCCAGUCUCAGGUACAACCCAGUCUCAGGUACAACCCAGUCUCAGGUACAACCCAGGCUCAGACACAGCUGAUGUUCACAUAUUACCUUGUUUUUAUUUCCCCUGUUGUCUGUCCUCCUCAGAAGGAGAGAUUGAGUUUCACAGACAAAGUACCCAACCUCUGGUUCUGGUAUGGAAUCAGCUUCAUCGUCACAGUAACUACAACUGUUAUUAUUAUUAUGAUUAUAUACCAGUUUCACUCUAUGUUGUUAUUGGCCUAUGGCAAAUAGGCUGUUUGGUGUUUAGCCUCGGACAUGCGUCCUAAAAGGCACCCUAUUCCCUAUAUACAGUGCACUACUUUUGACCCGGGCCUGUAUAUAGUGUACUAGUGUCUGGGCCCUUGUAGUGCACUACAUAGGGAAUAGGGUGCCAUUUGGGACAUACCUUGGUUAUUGUACUGGGCACAAGAUACAGAAAGACAACGGUAUCUGGUGUAGUAGUUGUUGUUAGUGAAGCUGGCUGCCGUGGCUGGACAGGAGCACCCGGUGGAACAACAGCUAGCCCACCGUUGCUGUUCUCCUCUUGUUACCCUUGAUGUGGGUCGUGGCUUUGGGGUGGACGUAUUGGGGAGUCUUAAAUGUUUCCUCAGCUAGUCUCUACCUGGG